This is an RNA transcript of Mandrillus leucophaeus (drill), 1010 nucleotides long. It is a transcript of the gene named acidic leucine-rich nuclear phosphoprotein 32 family member B pseudogene, with no coding region annotated. The record is from RefSeq and is a predicted model, not a curated record. Lineage: Eukaryota; Metazoa; Chordata; Mammalia; Primates; Cercopithecidae. The transcript has a single exon.
CGUGAGUAACUUGGCUCCGGGGGCUCUGCUCGCCUGCCCAUACGCUGCCAGCCACCCAGGACCGCGCUGCUGGCCUCCGCCGCGAGCAAACCCUUCCGACGACCUUCACUGCGCAGGCAGGGACGCCUCUCCCCUCUCCGACCCCGCCGCGGAAAGUUAAGUUUGAAGAGGGGGGAAGAGGUGAACAUGGGCAUGAAGAGGAGGAUCCACCUGGAGCUGAGGAAUCAGACCCCGGCAGCUGUUGAGAACUUGUCUUGGGCAAUUGCAAAUCAAAUGAUGGAAAAAUUGAAGGCUUAACAGCUGAAUUUGUGAACUUACAGUUCCUCAGUUUAAUAAAUGUAGGCUUGAUCUCAGUUUCAAAUCUCCCCAAGCUGCCUAAAUUGAGAAAGCUUGAACUCAGUGAAAAUAGAAUCUUUGGAGGUCUGGACAUGUUAGCUGAAAAACUUCCAAAUCUCACACAUCUAAACUUAAGUGGAAAUAAACUGAAAGAUAUCAGCACCUUGGAACCUUUGAAAAAGUUAGAAUGUCUGAAAAGCCUGGACCUCUUUAACUGUGAGGUUACUAAUCUGAGUGACUACCGAGAGAGUAUCUUCAAGCUCCUGCCCCAGCUUACCUACUUGGAUGGCUAUGACCAAGAGGACCAGGAAGCACCUGACUCAGAUGCCGAGGUGGAUGGUGUGGAUGAAGAGGAGGAUGAAGAACGAGAAGAUGAGGAAGAUGAGGAGGAUGAGAAUGGUGAAGAAGAGGAGUUUGAUGAAGAAGAUGAUGAAGAUGAAGAUGUAGAAGGGGAUGAGGAUGACGAUGAGGUCAGUGAGGAGGAAGAAGAAUUUGGACUUGAUGAAGAAGAUGCAAGAUGAGGAUGAAGAUGAAGAGGAGGAAGAAGGUGGGAAAGGUGAAAAGAGGAAGAGAGAAACAGAUGAUGAAGGAGAAGAUGAUUAAGACCCCAGAUGACCUGCAGAAACAGAACUGUUGAGUGUUGGUUAGACUGCUCAUGGAUUUGGUAGCUGUUU